GACUGUUCUCUCCCUUGUACGUCGCUUUGGACAAAAGCAUCUGCUAAAUGACUAAAUGUAAAUGUAAAUGUAAUUAUGUAUGACCCAUGCCAGAGGAUCAAUUAAAUGGAAAUUGUAACAACACGUGAACACAGAGGCCAUGACCCAUGAAUGCGUUUUGUUUAUCGAUGUCUAAUUGUAGGGCUGGGAGGGGACGACAUGAAUCCCAAGGGCUUUUAAUAGUUUCAGAAAAUCAAAGUUAGAACUAAUCAAACGGUUUAGUAUCAGAUAUUCGGUUAAUCUUCAGCUUGAAAUAAAUUUGCAAGGAGUGACACAGCUACAGAGCCCGAAUUUAUGGUCUGUCAACACUGUCUGCAUUCCACACACCCAAAGCACUUUCAGUCAAUAGUAAACAAACAGAGAGUGUCUGCGCUCAAUCUAUUAGACAUUUCAUCAAAUAUUAUAGCAUUGUGGAUAAACCAUAUGUUUGCUGGCAAAGCAUAAUUUGGAGCUCAAACAAAGGAUGAUGUGAUGGAUGGAGAAAGAGGUUGCAAAUGGAAAGAUGUGUCUGCAACCGCUAAUUUGAUAAUUAUUGAAUCAUUAUCCACCUCGUCUCCCAGUUAAUUGACUAAACAUGCUUUUGGAUAUUAUGACAGGCUGACAGAGAAAAUGGUUUGGGCACCGAUUAUCUGUAUAUGUGGAUAUCUGUAGCCUAUUAUCUGUCGCCCUUCUGUUAAGACACAUUUAGACUGUCAGGGCUGACAGUUAGACACUGGAGCACUCAGUCAUAGUCUUCAUAGUCUUGAAUAACUUUGUUUUUAUCUGUUUUUAAACUUUCUUUAUUUCCCAGGCCACCCUUGCAGGGGGUUCAUUGACAAGGAUGCCUCUACCUGCAUCUUAUUUGCCUCCAUUUACCUCCAUAAUGCUAUCCUAAACCAUAACGCUUUCUAACUAGCAGAUAUUCAUCAGCAUUUACAUUUUUAACAUGUGCAACAAGUAUUUCAUCUGUCUGUCAAUAUGCUCUUUGCAUAAAUCGCUCCCAGCCAUCUCUGCUAUUCUGUCGCAGAAGCGAGGCAGAUGGGAUUCGCUCUUCCCUCGUCUAUCUACGCCACCUCUUUAUACUUCUGCUUUGGCUCUGAGGACACAGCCAUUCAAUUGCAACGGCAUUCGCCGAAUUCACACAGGAACGUGCACAAGAGGUUGACGGACAGGAAGAGAUCUCCGCUGCCCCUUCAGAAACACGCCAUGAGUGCGUCCUCAUAACAGCCCCUCAUGCAUAAUAACAAACUGUCUUCCACAAGUGUCACAGGCACGUUAAUGUGCUCACGAGCCCUGGGAAGGUACAUUUGAGGACAUGUAACCUCUUGUAUUGAGUUUUUUUUUUAAAUGUCCCAGUUUUAUUUGUAAAGGGGAAUAGUUUUUUGUUUCAAACUUUAUUGGUCCCCUUCCAUUUUCAUCAGCCUAAAUAUCUGCCAGUAGCAAGGUACUCUCAGUACAGGGAACAGGUAGGGUGCCAUCAAGGACAUAUACUGAUGAUGUGCCCAAAGGAAUGUAUUCAGCUGGUACUGUUGUUUACCUCAUUAUUCCUGUCUGGCUUGGCUGCUCUAAACGAACUGCCACUAAGGACAAUAGCCCAAGAAUUUUUUACCAUCUUUCUGUUAGCACUUGUUUUAUACUGACAGAGAAAGAGAGCAUUUGACAUCCUUCAUUACAAAACUAAUGAUUUCCUUGUUCCAGCGUUAAACAGAAUCAAGAGUGUGCAGUGGAUCACCGCUGUUUAGGAGCUUAUCGGAAGACCCACAGCUGGCAGAACAAGCUCUCUCGCUGGCCGAGAUAUCAAAUUGGAAAAUGGAUGGAGAGUAUUUUAGCAUAAUGACUGAUAUUAGUCAUUACACAGUAAUCAUAUGGUAGUCUAAAAAUCUUGUCAUAAUGAUCAUUGUCUUUAAAAUGGGUUUAUGUUGGACUCUAUGGCAGUUGACACAGAAUUGACAUGA
Long non-coding RNA from Clupea harengus (Atlantic herring), 1973 nucleotides. RefSeq lists it as uncharacterized. The record is from RefSeq and is a predicted model, not a curated record. NCBI's taxonomy places the organism in Eukaryota, Metazoa, Chordata, Actinopteri, Clupeiformes, Clupeidae.